GUUAACAAUAGAAAAGAACGUGCUUUCCUCACACAUAUGGGCACUACUCCCAACUCAGCUCACAAUUUUGCAAUUGUGUGUUACGAAAACCUGAAAGGUAAAAUGAAUCAUGUUGAUGAGGUGAUUAGAAAGCAAACAAAGAAGAUGGUUCUUGAUGCAAGACUAGGGCUAAAGACUACCAUUGAUGUCAUGAGGAGAAUAAUUUGA
Molecule: ribosomal RNA, 207 nt
Filed under: Triticum aestivum (bread wheat)
Lineage: Eukaryota; Viridiplantae; Streptophyta; Magnoliopsida; Poales; Poaceae
Description: partial small subunit ribosomal RNA
Source: RNAcentral